Molecule: ribosomal RNA, 497 nt
Filed under: uncultured bacterium
Lineage: Bacteria
Description: partial 16S ribosomal RNA
Rfam family: Bacterial small subunit ribosomal RNA
Source: RNAcentral
GAUGAACGCUGGCGGCGUGCCUAAUACAUGCAAGUCGAGCGAACGGACGAGAAGCUUGCUUCUCUGAUGUUAGCGGCGGACGGGUGAGUAACACGUGGAUAACCUACCUAUAAGACUGGGAUAACUUCGGGAAACCGGAGCUAAUACCGGAUAAUAUUUUGAACCGCAUGGUUCAAAAGUGAAAGACGGUCUUGCUGUCACUUAUAGAUGGAUCCGCGCUGCAUUAGCUAGUUGGUAAGGUAACGGCUUACCAAGGCAACGAUGCAUAGCCGACCUGAGAGGGUGAUCGGCCACACUGGAACUGAGACACGGUCCAGACUCCUACGGGAGGCAGCAGUAGGGAAUCUUCCGCAAUGGGCGAAAGACUGACGGAGCAACGCCGCGUGAGUGAUGAAGGUCUUCGGAUCGUAAAACUCUGUUAUUAGGGAAGAACAUAUGUGUAAGUAACUGUGCACAUCUUGGCGGUACCUAAUCAGAAAGCCACGGCUAACUACGUG